AUUGAACGCUGGCGGCAGGCCUAACACAUGCAAGUCGAGCGGAUGAAGGGAGCUUGCUCCUGGAUUCAGCGGCGGACGGGUGAGUAAUGCCUAGGAAUCUGCCUGGUAGUGGGGGAUAACGUCCGGAAACGGGCGCUAAUACCGCAUACGUCCUGAGGUAGAACGUGGGGGAUCUUCGGACCUCACGCUAUCAGAUGAGCCUAGGUCGGAUUAGCUAGUUGGUGGGGUAAAGGCCUACCAAGGCGACGAUCCGUAACUGGUCUGAGAGGAUGAUCAGUCACACUGGAACUGAGACACGGUCCAGACUCCUACGGGAGGCAGCAGUGGGGAAUAUUGGACAAUGGGCGAAAGCCUGAUCCAGCCAUGCCGCGUGUGUGAAGAAGGUCUUCGGAUUGUAAAGCACUGUAAGUUGGGAGGAAGGGCAGUAAGUUAAUACCUUGCUGUUUUGACGGUACCAACAGAAUAAGCACCGGCUAACUUCGUG
Molecule: ribosomal RNA, 484 nt
Filed under: uncultured bacterium
Lineage: Bacteria
Description: partial 16S ribosomal RNA
Rfam family: Bacterial small subunit ribosomal RNA
Source: RNAcentral